This 31-nucleotide non-coding RNA is filed under the name Mus musculus (house mouse). Lineage: Eukaryota; Metazoa; Chordata; Mammalia; Rodentia; Muridae. The record is from RNAcentral.
UGUUACUCUUUAACUGUUUUGAUAAACUGAG